AAGUUUUUUUCGGCAUUUGAACAAGACCAGAAAGCUGUGCUUGAAUUUCUUGAAAUAG
This 58-nucleotide small RNA is filed under the name Caenorhabditis elegans. RNAcentral's name for it is "Unclassified non-coding RNA T02E9.8". Lineage: Eukaryota; Metazoa; Nematoda; Chromadorea; Rhabditida; Rhabditidae. The record is from RNAcentral.